RNAcentral lists this transfer RNA (77 nucleotides) under Pseudobdellovibrionaceae bacterium. RNAcentral describes it as "Bdellovibrionaceae bacterium (activated sludge metagenome) tRNA-Asp". It matches the Rfam family "tRNA". Rfam says of the family: Transfer RNA (tRNA) molecules are approximately 80 nucleotides in length. Their secondary structure includes four short double-helical elements and three loops (D, anti-codon, and T loops). The record is from RNAcentral. Lineage: Bacteria; Pseudomonadati; Bdellovibrionota; Bdellovibrionia; Bdellovibrionales; Pseudobdellovibrionaceae.
GGGGCAGUAGUUAAGUUGGUUAUAACGUCCGCCUGUCACGCGGAAGGCCGCGGGUUCGAGUCCCGUCUGCCCCGCCA